Long non-coding RNA from Mus musculus (house mouse), 454 nucleotides. RefSeq annotates it as predicted gene, 36651. The record is from RefSeq and is a predicted model, not a curated record. The transcript has 3 exons. Lineage: Eukaryota; Metazoa; Chordata; Mammalia; Rodentia; Muridae.
UUGCCCUGUAGAAGAGGGGACACGACAACGGUUCUCAUGAAAGCACGUGUUUGAACAGUGCCAGCCAUUGUCAAUAGUGACAACUUGUAGCACUUGCCUACAUCUAUGGCACAGGCAUGAAGGACUUUACAGACAGAUAGGAGCCCGACAUUCCAUCCCAUGCAACAGAGGCUGAUCCUCUCUCAGGAGGCCAUCUCCAUCUCAGCAGCAAGAUGAGAUUUCAAGGGGGGCUGAAUCCAUUUGGAGAUGCCAAGAUACUUGAACACCCUUGUUUUGCCAUUCAUCAAUUUUGAUCAUCUAGACAAAGGCCAGAGUGAAGUGGAAGAUUUGGCAUGGUCUGUUACUGACAACCAACUAGGGUGACCCAGGAUGAGGCCAGUGCCACCAGCCUCUACUUCACUUUAAUACUAUGCAGACCUGGCUUCUCCACAAGUAACACACAAGGCAACAGAAG